RNAcentral lists this long non-coding RNA (552 nucleotides) under Junco hyemalis (dark-eyed junco). RNAcentral describes it as "lncRNA (ENSJHYG00000002380.1)". Lineage: Eukaryota; Metazoa; Chordata; Aves; Passeriformes; Passerellidae. The record is from RNAcentral.
CACCAGUGGAGUGUCUGCACAUUCCUCUCUGGCAGAUUUUAUGGGGAAUUUAGGCCAAUUCUUUCCCAUUAGAGGAUCUCCGAGUAGGAGGUUUGUCAGGUGCUGCUCCCAGGCCGCCCUUCUGAGGGCAGGCAGCCGGAGGUGUCUGGAAAAUGGAGAUCGUAAUACUUGGUUUAUUGCACCUGCUCCAGCUAUUGCUGAAAUUCCAGCUGCAGAGGAGUUACAGAGGGAACUGGAAAAAAGCUCAGCUCACACUCAUAUGGGGGGGAGCAAGCAUGAGAAGUUUAUACAGCAAUGUAAGAGUAACACAGAGAAAGUGGAAGAUAAAUCAUCAGCACCUAUUCAUUUUGGCAUAGCCCCUGAAAAGGAAGCCCUACAAUUAAGUCUAGGAGAAAGAGAUAAAAUUAGUUUUCAGCAUGAAAAUCUGAAAGUGGUUUCAUCUUUUCUUUCCUUUGAUGAAAAUAAAUCUAAAAGAAUAAUAGAUUUUUCUCAGCAACCACAAAAUAAAGCAUUAAGUGAAAACAGUGAUGAUGAGAGUGUCCAUUCAACAUU